This 191-nucleotide non-coding RNA is filed under the name Clostridia bacterium. Its description in RNAcentral is "6S RNA". It matches the Rfam family "6S / SsrS RNA". From Rfam's summary of the family: E. coli 6S RNA was the first non coding RNA to be sequenced, but its function was unknown until recently. It consists of 184 nucleotides that fold into an extended hairpin structure with a large single-stranded internal bulge. Lineage: Bacteria; Bacillati; Bacillota; Clostridia. The record is from RNAcentral.
UCAACCCUGCCUUGUGCGACAAAUUGCAGCCCAUAUGUAACCCAACACGUAAUCAUAGGGAGCCGAUCUCCGGAGGCGGAUUGCAGACCUCCCGCCCUGCGGCGGACGAAGGGAGCGUGAACCCAUCGGGAGGCACCCACCUGCUAAAAGAGCAGGUUACAAUCGGCUGCAUACGGCUUGGCGGGGAAUUA